CCUACGGGUGGCAGCAGUGAGGAAUAUUGGUCAAUGGACGAGAGUCUGAACCAGCCAAGUAGCGUGAAGGAUGACUGCCCUAUGGGUUGUAAACUUCUUUUAUAUGGGAAUAAAAUGUUCCACGUGUGGGAUUUUGUAUGUACAAUAUGAAUAAGGAUCGGCUAACUCCGUGCCAGCAGCCGCGGUAAUACGGAGGAUCCGAGCGUUAUCCGGAUUUAUUGGGUUUAAAGGGAGCGUAGGUGGAUUGUUAAGUCAGUUGUGAAAGUUUGCGGCUCAACCGUAAAAUUGCAGUUGAAACUGGCAGUCUUGAGUACAGUAGAGGUGGGCGGAAUUCGUGGUGUAGCGGUGAAAUGCUUAGAUAUCACGAAGAACUCCGAUUGCGAAGGCAGUUCACUGGACUGCAACUGACACUGAGGCUCGAAAGUGUGGGUAUCAAACAGGAUUAGAUACCCGAGUAGUC
RNAcentral lists this ribosomal RNA (460 nucleotides) under uncultured bacterium. Its description in RNAcentral is "partial 16S ribosomal RNA". It matches the Rfam family "Bacterial small subunit ribosomal RNA", at positions 338 to 795 of the family's 1533-position model. The record is from RNAcentral.